RNAcentral lists this long non-coding RNA (982 nucleotides) under Marmota monax (woodchuck). The record is from RNAcentral. Lineage: Eukaryota; Metazoa; Chordata; Mammalia; Rodentia; Sciuridae.
GCUUCCCUCUGCCACACUCUUCUGCCACAAUGUUUUUCCUCACCUGAAGCCCUGAGGAAUGGAGCUGCCCUUCUAUGGACUGAGACCUCUGAAACCGUGAGCCCUCAAAUAAACUUUUCCUUCUCUAAAAUUGUUCUUGUCAGGUCACAGCAGCAAAAAACCUGACUAAAACACUAAGGUUUGCUGUUUUCAUUUAUUGGUGUCAAAUUAUUGCUUUCGUGACAGAAUCCCACCUCUGAAAUUAUAAUGAUAAACCUAGGAACAUAAGUUAAUUUAUAGAAUUUCAUUUCAGACACUCUGUGGUAGGGUUAGCAUGAUUGCAUUGUUUGAAAUGAAUGCAUGCCAUGAAGCCUGGUGCACUUAAAUGACUUGCUUCUUUCUUUCAAGAAACCGAUUUAAAAGUUUAGUAUCAUUGCUUCUACAAAUUCAGAAAGACUGAUCAGUGCAUAAACAACAUUUGGUUAAGCAGAAAGAUCUUCACAUGUUUAAAAUGUUCACGAGUGGAGGUCUAUUUAAUGGGAGCAGGUUCACACUAGCAUUCCACGACCUAACUGAUUCCUGGGCUCUUGGCAAGAUGUUUUUCCUUUAAUGUACAUGAUUUAUGUUAUAGUACACAUAUGAUUCAUGCAUACUUCUAGACUUGGCAUGGAGCCUGUUUUGCUGUGUAUAUUAUUGUCUUACCAGAUCUCUCUGUUCCUGGGACCUACACCAAGUCUUAUUUAGAUUAUAGGGAAAAUAAGGGCAUUUUGCUGCUGUUACAAAAUAAUCCUUGCAAGUGUUUCAGUGUUUACAUGAGAUAACAGUCCUACAGAAAGAAAUGCCAGUUAUAUCUUCACAGCUGUGUGGCACCACCCCCAGCAGCCAGAGAAGGUGGAGUAGGUUUCAUAGCUCUUUCCUCCUGCCACACUUUAAACCAUGUGACUCAAGCUAAGAUGACACCAAAUUUCAGGAGAUAUAAAUGUGUUCUUAGAACAUGGAAUGA